AUGAGUUCGGGGGUCUAGCCCCCAGCGGCGAGUGUCGUUCGAGCCCGCUCGGGGCUCGGCCGGCGGUCGUCGUGUUUCUCAACCCCAUGUUUACCCAUACCUUUGUUGCUUUGGCGGGCCUUGAGUAGGCUAUACGGCUCAUGCCGGCCCCAAGCUCUAUUGCUUGAGGGCGGCUCGCGCCCGCCAGAGGUUCAAACCAAAUCCUAUUUAUCAGUGAUGUCUGAGCAAAUAUUAAAUAAUCAAAACUUUCAACAACGGAUCUCUUGGUUCUGGCAUCGAUGAAGAACGCAGCGAAAUGCGAUAAGUAAUGUGAAUUGCAGAAUUCAGUGAAUCAUCGAAUCUUUGAACGCACAUUGCGCCCCUCGGCAUUCCGGGGGGCAUGCCUGUUCGAGCGUCAUUGCACCCCUCAAGCGUAGCUUGGUAUUGGACGUUCGCGGGCCCUCUUAUAGGGAGGGGCUCGCGGGUCCGAAAAGCAGUGGCGGUCCCCGAGGAUUUCGCGCGUAGUAAAUAUUAUCCCGCGUUGGAAAGAGUCGGUGGGCUUGCCAAAACUCCCCAUAAUCUUSAAUGAUUGACCUCGGAUCAGGUAGGGAUACCCGCUGAACUUAAGCAUAUCAAUAA
This 618-nucleotide ribosomal RNA is filed under the name Cladonia pyxidata. Its description in RNAcentral is "eukaryotic LSU rRNA". The stretch from base 244 to 397 matches the Rfam family "5.8S ribosomal RNA". Lineage: Eukaryota; Fungi; Ascomycota; Lecanoromycetes; Lecanorales; Cladoniaceae. The record is from RNAcentral.